CGCUUGGUGAUGUGAGCCGGACGUCGAUCGGUUACCACUUCUAAUGGAAUGGUCGCGGGUUCGAAUCCCGCCCGCCCUACGCAGGGCGGUAGCUCAGCUGGCAGAGCAUUCCCGGUUGAUACCUCACACGCCCACAUCACCGAGCUC
This 147-nucleotide non-coding RNA is filed under the name Mycolicibacterium smegmatis MC2 155. The record is from RNAcentral. Lineage: Bacteria; Bacillati; Actinomycetota; Actinomycetes; Mycobacteriales; Mycobacteriaceae.